Molecule: ribosomal RNA, 966 nt
Filed under: bacterium Chen2
Lineage: Bacteria
Description: bacterial SSU rRNA
Rfam family: Bacterial small subunit ribosomal RNA
Source: RNAcentral
GGACAUGAACGGCAGUGCCUUAUAAUGCAGUCGAGCGGACAGAAGGGAGCUUGCUCCCGGAUGUUAGCGGCGGACGGGUGAGUAACACGUGGGUAACCUGCCUGUAAGACUGGGAUAACUCCGGGAAACCGGAGCUAAUACCGGAUAGUUCCUUGAACCGCAUGGUUCAAGGAUGAAAGACGGUUUCGGCUGUCACUUACAGAUGGACCCGCGGCGCAUUACCUAGUUGGUGGGGUAAUGGCUCACCAAGGCGACGAUGCGUAGCCGACCUGAGAGGGUGAUCGGCCACACUGGGACUGAGACACGGCCCAGACUCCUACGGGAGGCAGCAGUAGGGAAUCUUCCGCAAUGGACGAAAGUCUGACGGAGCAACGCCGCGUGAGUGAUGAAGGUUUUCGGAUCGUAAAGCUCUGUUGUUAGGGAAGAACAAGUGCGAGAGUAACUGCUCGCACCUUGACGGUACCUAACCAGAAAGCCACGGCUAACUACGUGCCAGCAGCCGCGGUAAUACGUAGGUGGCAAGCGUUGUCCGGAAUUAUUGGGCGUAAAGGGCUCGCAGGCGGUUUCUUAAGUCUGAUGUGAAAGCCCCCGGCUCAACCGGGGAGGGUCAUUGGAAACUGGGAAACUUGAGUGCAGAAGAGGAGAGUGGAAUUCCACGUGUAGCGCUGAAAUGCGUAGAGAUGUGGAGGAACACCAGUGGCGAAUGCGACUCUCUGGUCUGUAACUGACGCUGAGGAGCGAAAGCGUGGGGAGCGAACAGGAUUAGAUACCCUGGUAGUCCACGCCGUACACGAUGAGUGCUAAGUGUUCGGGGUUUCCGCCCUUAUGCUGCAGCUAACGCAUUAAGCACUCCGCCUGGGGAGUACGGCGCAAGACUGAACUCAAGGAAUUGACGGGGGCCCGCACACGCCGUGGAGCAUGUGCUUAAUUCGAAGCAUCGCGAAAAACCUUACCAGGUCUUGACAU